CCUACGGGGGGCUGCAGUAAGGAAUAUUGGUCAAUGGGCGGAAGCCUGAACCAGCCAUGCCGCGUGCAGGAAGACGGCCUUAUGGGUUGUAAACUGCUUUUGACGGGGAAAAAACGCCGAUACGUGUAUUGGUUUGCUUGUACCUGUUGAAUAAGCAUCGGCUAACUCCGUGCCAGCAGCCGCGGUAAUACGGAGGAUGCAAGCGUUAUCCGGAUUUAUUGGGUUUAAAGGGUGCGCAGGCGGACGAUUAAGUCAGUGGUGAAAUGCAACAGCUUAACUGUUGAACUGCCAUUGAUACUGAUUAUCUAGAGUACAGACGACGUUGGCGGAAUGCGACAUGUAGCGGUGAAAUGCUUAGAGAUGUCGCAGAACACCGAUUGCGAAGGCAGCUAACGAGGAUGUAACUGACGCUCAUGCACGAAAGCGUGGGGAUCAAACAGGAUUAGAUACCCCUGUAGUC
This 460-nucleotide ribosomal RNA is filed under the name uncultured Bacteroidota bacterium. RNAcentral describes it as "bacterial SSU rRNA". It matches the Rfam family "Bacterial small subunit ribosomal RNA", at positions 338 to 795 of the family's 1533-position model. The record is from RNAcentral. Lineage: Bacteria; Pseudomonadati; Bacteroidota.